This 236-nucleotide unclassified non-coding RNA is filed under the name Hevea brasiliensis (rubber tree). The record is from RNAcentral. Lineage: Eukaryota; Viridiplantae; Streptophyta; Magnoliopsida; Malpighiales; Euphorbiaceae.
GCUUGAUGAUGCAUUGAGUGCAACAAGGUUGCAGGACGGCCGGAUUAAACUUUGGAUACAUAUUGCAGAUCCUACUAGUUUAGUUCAGCCAGGAAGCAUAAUAGACAAGGAUGCAAGAAGAAGAGGAACUUCAGUAUUCUUGCCUACUGCAACAUAUCCAAUGUUCCCUGAGAGGUUGGCCAUGGAAGGCAUGAGUCUGCAGCAAGGAAAGUUGUGUAAUGCUGUUUCUGUGUCUG